RNAcentral lists this transfer RNA (75 nucleotides) under Ktedonobacterales bacterium. RNAcentral describes it as "tRNA-Thr". It matches the Rfam family "tRNA". Rfam says of the family: Transfer RNA (tRNA) molecules are approximately 80 nucleotides in length. Their secondary structure includes four short double-helical elements and three loops (D, anti-codon, and T loops). The record is from RNAcentral. Lineage: Bacteria; Bacillati; Chloroflexota; Ktedonobacteria; Ktedonobacterales.
GCCGACGUAGCUCAACGGCAGAGCAGCUGUUUUGUAAACAGCAGGUUAUGGGUUCAAAUCCCUUCGUCGGCUCCC